GACGAACGCUGGCGGCGUGCUUAACACAUGCAAGUCGAACGGGUCUGCCCUGUUUUUUGCGGGGUGGGUCAGUGGCGAACGGGUGAGUAACACGUGAGUAACCUGCCCCUCACUUCUGGAUAACCGCUUGAAAGGGUGGCUAAUACGGGGUGUUCUGGCUGUGCCGCAUGGUGUGGCUGGGAAAGAUUCACUUUUGUGGUGUUUUGGUGGGGGAUGGGCUCGCGGCCUAUCAGCUUGUUGGUGGGGUGAUGGCCUGCCAAGGCUUUGACGGGUAGCCGGCCUGAGGGGGUGGGCGGUCACAGUGGGACUGAGAUACGGCCCAGACUCCUGCGGGAGGCAGCAGUGGGGGGUAUUGCACAAUGGGCGGAAGCCUUAUGCAGCGACGGCGCGUGAGGGAUGGAGGCCUUCGGGUUGUGAACCUCUUUCGCCGGUGAAGAAGGUCCUGCUCUUUGGGGUGGGGUUGACGGUAGCCGGGUUAUGAAGCGCCGGCUAACUACGUG
RNAcentral lists this ribosomal RNA (500 nucleotides) under uncultured bacterium. RNAcentral's name for it is "partial 16S ribosomal RNA". It matches the Rfam family "Bacterial small subunit ribosomal RNA", at positions 28 to 507 of the family's 1533-position model. The record is from RNAcentral.